GACGAACGCUGGCGGCGUGCUUAACACAUGCAAGUCGAACGGAAAGGCCCUGCUUUUGUGGGGUGCUCGAGUGGCGAACGGGUGAGUAACACGUGAGUAACCUGCCCUUGACUUUGGGAUAACUUCAGGAAACUGGGGCUAAUACCGGAUAGGAGCUCCUGCUGCAUGGUGGGGGUUGGAAAGUUUCGGCGGUUGGGGAUGGACUGGCGGCUUAUCAGCUUGUUGGUGGGGUAGUGGCUUACCAAGGCUUUGACGGGUAGCCGGCCUGAGAGGGUGACCGGCCACAUUGGUACUGAGAUACGGCCCAGACUCCUAUGGGAGGCAGCAGUGGGGAAUAUUGCGCAAUGGGCGGAAGCCUGAUGCAGCAACGCCGCGUGCGGGAUGACGGCCUUCGGGUUGUAAACCGCUUUCGCCUGUGACGAAGCGUGAGUGACGGUAAUGGGUAAAGAAGCACCGGCUAACUACGUG
Molecule: ribosomal RNA, 468 nt
Filed under: uncultured bacterium
Lineage: Bacteria
Description: partial 16S ribosomal RNA
Rfam family: Bacterial small subunit ribosomal RNA
Source: RNAcentral